UGCGGCAGGAUCCCCUCCUUUCUA
Molecule: ribosomal RNA, 24 nt
Filed under: uncultured actinomycete
Lineage: Bacteria; Bacillati; Actinomycetota; Actinomycetes; Actinomycetales
Description: partial 16S ribosomal RNA
Source: RNAcentral